GACGGUAUGGCUCAGUGGUAGAGUGCAUGCUUAGCAUGUGCAAGGUCUUGGGUUCAAUCCCCAUCACCUCCA
Non-coding RNA from Camelus ferus (Wild Bactrian camel), 72 nucleotides. NCBI's taxonomy places the organism in Eukaryota, Metazoa, Chordata, Mammalia, Artiodactyla, Camelidae. The record is from Rfam.